UACAGAGGGUGCGAGCGUUAAUCGGAAUCAUUGGGCGUAAAGGGCGCGUAGGCGGCUUGUACAGUCAGACGUGAAAUUCCUGGGCUCAACCUGGGGGCUGCGUUUGAUACGUGCGGGCUUGAGUUCGGAAGAGGGUCGUGGAAUUCCCAGUGUAGAGGUGAAAUUCGUAGAUAUUGGGAAGAACACCGGUGGCGAAGGCGGCGACCUGGUCCGAUACUGACGCUGAGGCGCGAAAGCGUGGGGAGCAAACAGG
Molecule: ribosomal RNA, 253 nt
Filed under: uncultured prokaryote
Description: partial 16S ribosomal RNA
Rfam family: Bacterial small subunit ribosomal RNA
Source: RNAcentral